UUCGGAUUGUAGUCUGCAACCCGACUACAUGAAGCCGGAAUCGCUAGUAAUCGCGGAUCAGAAUGCCGCGGUGAAUACGUUCCCGGGUCUUGUACACACCGCCCGUCACACCAUGGGAGUCGGGAAUGCCCGAAGUCAGUGACCCAACCGAAAGGGAGGAGCUGCCGAAGGUGGAGCCGGUAACUGGGGUGAAGUCGUAACAAGGUAUC
RNAcentral lists this ribosomal RNA (209 nucleotides) under uncultured bacterium. RNAcentral describes it as "partial 16S ribosomal RNA". It matches the Rfam family "Bacterial small subunit ribosomal RNA", at positions 1292 to 1500 of the family's 1533-position model. The record is from RNAcentral.